This 472-nucleotide ribosomal RNA is filed under the name uncultured bacterium. RNAcentral's name for it is "bacterial SSU rRNA". It matches the Rfam family "Bacterial small subunit ribosomal RNA", at positions 355 to 825 of the family's 1533-position model. The record is from RNAcentral.
UGGGGAAUAUUGGACAAUGGGCGCAAGCCUGAUCCAGCGACGCCGCGUGUGUGAAGAAGGCCUGCGGGUUGUAAAGCACUUUCGAUGGGAACGAAAUGUGCCGGGUUAAUACCCCGGUAAGCUGACGUUACUCAAUGAAGAAGCACCGGCUAACUACGUGCCAGCAGCCGCGGUAAUACGUAGGGACCAAGCGUUGUUCGGAUUUACUGGGCGUAAAGGGCGCGUAGGCGGCAAUUCAAGUCAUCUGUGAAAUCUCCGGGCUUAACUCGGAACGGUCAGAUGAUACUGCUUUGCUAGAGUGCAGAAGGGGCAAUCGGAAUUCUUGGUGUAGCGGUGAAAUGCGUAGAUAUCAAGAGGAACACCUGAGGUGAAGACGGGUUGCUGGGCUGACACUGACGCUGAGGCGCGAAAGCCAGGGGAGCAAACGGGAUUAGAUACCCAUGUAGUCCCUGAGCGGGCUGGCAAGGCGCAU